This is a long non-coding RNA of Aquila chrysaetos chrysaetos, 145 nucleotides long. RefSeq lists it as uncharacterized. The record is from RefSeq and is a predicted model, not a curated record. Lineage: Eukaryota; Metazoa; Chordata; Aves; Accipitriformes; Accipitridae. The transcript is spliced from 4 exons.
ACUCAUGACCCUCACAGUGGGAUGGGGGAGAGAAUGGCAAGGGUAAAUGUGAGAAAACACAUAGGUUGAGAUAAAGACAGUUUAAUAGGCAAAGCAAAAGCUGCACACGCAAGCAAAGCAAAACAAGGAAUUCAUCAGCAUGCAG